Molecule: ribosomal RNA, 82 nt
Filed under: Aecidium evansii
Lineage: Eukaryota; Fungi; Basidiomycota; Pucciniomycetes; Pucciniales
Description: partial 5.8S ribosomal RNA
Rfam family: 5.8S ribosomal RNA
About the family: 5.8S ribosomal RNA (5.8S rRNA) is a component of the large subunit of the eukaryotic ribosome. It is transcribed by RNA polymerase I as part of the 45S precursor that also contains 18S and 28S rRNA.
Source: RNAcentral
GCAGAAUUCAGUGAAUCAUCAAAUCUUUGAACGCACCUUGCACCUUUUGGUAUUCCAAAAGGUAUACCUGUUUGAGUGUCAU